This 262-nucleotide long non-coding RNA is filed under the name Mytilus galloprovincialis (Mediterranean mussel). Lineage: Eukaryota; Metazoa; Mollusca; Bivalvia; Mytilida; Mytilidae. The record is from RNAcentral.
GGGUUAGUUUCAUGUAAUUUUAUUAUGUUUUUAUUAAUAUAUAAUAGGGUUGAUGUCAACUACAAAACUUUUGUCCACUACGAAACGGUUUUGUCCACUACGAAACUCAUCAAAAUGUCCACUACGUAACAUGAGUUGUUCCUUCAAAUGUGAAGUACUGUCUAAUCUUUAUCGAUAAAAAUGGUUUUCCAAUUCAGAAAAAAAUGAGAUUUUUCUAGUAUUUAAAAGUAAACAAACUGGAAUGUCUAAAGGGAACAUUUAA